UUGUAUUAGAAUCAUGCAACUAAACUAUAAAAGAACUAUAAAAGAAUUGCUAUAUAAUAAAAAAAAAAAAAAAGUAGUGAACUUGAGAAAAUAAAUAAAUAAUAAAAAAUCAACACUAAAUUAGAAUAAGAAUCAAGCAUUAAUUUAAAUCAAAAGAGCAAAAAAAAAUGAGUAAAUAAAUGUAUUCAAGCUAAAAACUAAAUAACUAAAAACUAAAUAACCUAGCCUCCCCCACCGACCAUACGCAGGUGAUUCAAGAUAAGUGCCAAAUUGUCAUGGUGAAUGUCACAAGAAUCAGCAAUAGUGUUAAAGUUUUGACACAUAAAGUGAAUAGGACUCUGGUACAGAAUGUUGGACCUGGCUGUGUCCAAGUUAAAAGCUGGACACUGUCUGGAUCCUGGGCGUGGUAUAUGAAAGCAAAUCCUUUGCAAAAGGGAUGGGCAGUCAAUUUUAUGGUUAAGUAAAUUAAACAAGAAUUUCACCGAAUGCAUUUCUCUCUCUUUACUCUUUACUAUUUCUCUCUCUACUUUAAGUAAACAGAGCAGAGCUUUUUUAAAACAUACUGCCGAAAAUUCAUUCCGACUGCUUCAAUAUUUUUUAGGUGUUCCAGUAGAUUAGAUCUGCAUAAUUGUGCACACCUAAAAAAUAUUAUAUCAAUAUUGCAUCAAUAUUAUUAACAAACAAUGCUUGUUUCUGUAAAAUGAAAAGAAGAGUGAUAUGUAGAAAUAAUGAAUGCAUUGAUGGAAAAACUUAAUUUUGGAAAAAUCAUUAGUUAACCAGGUGUAUGCUUUGGAUGGUAGAAUGUGAAGAUCUAUUGAUACCCCAGACUGAUAAACAUUCAUAUUUACACUCAUAAAGGCAUUUCUUCUGAGUGCAACCUUUAUGGUCUGCUGGAUGCCAAAUCCAAGUAAUGUAUCAUCACAUAGCUUCAGCUCAAUUGGUUCAAUUGUGCCAAAAUACAUAUUAAAUAGCCUGAAGGAGAUCAACACAUUGCAAAAGUUCAUGAAAUAAUUUGACGUACUAUAUAUAAUAAUUUGGCGUUAGUUGCUCAAUUUUUCUUGAAUGUGCAUUUGCAAGAAAAUUCAUUAGUUUUGCUCUAAUUGAUUUAACAUUUUUGAAAAGUUACUUCUAAAAGGCCAGCUUAAUUAUGAAUAAUUGUUGUGGUCCUAUCCAGUCACAUAUUUUUACCUCAGUGAGGCAAAAGCAACGUUGCCACAUACAAUAAUAAGAAUCGAUGGCAAUUUACACUUCAUAGCACUCGAUUAGGUGUAAAUUUGAACGUAAUUUGUCAUGUAUGAAAGCGAUGAAUUCCCAAUAAGGUUCUGUUUGGUUUUUAUAUUUUCGCGGCCGUGAGAAUUAAUAAUUGUCGUCCUCGUCGUUGCGAAAUCGAAUUUAAAAGCACUUUACGGGAAAAGUUGCCCUCAGCGAUCAUCAUCAUCAUAGUAAUAAUAACGUAACUUUAUUAGCUGACGAAGAUCGGUCGGCAAUUAGUCAGCGACCGGGUGUCGCUGACGCUGCUGACUAUAUCGAUUUAUUUCGGCCCUCUUCGCUUCUUUAGCGCGAUGUGUGUGUAUGUGAAACCGAGAAAUGAGGCCGAGUGGCAGGAAUACGAUGCGAAAAUAAAUUAAUUUGAAAAACUUCUAAUAAAUACCUUUUUUUUUAAUCACCCUGUAUAAUAUAAUGUAUUGUAUAUAUUUUUAAAUAGGACGCUGUUUGCUCAUUAAGGACUUGGAUUUGGAAAAGCCCAAACGGUCUGACAAAAAAUAAGAUCUUGACUUUGUAAUAACCGACAAUAAACAUAUCGUCAAAGAUGUAUCAGUAUACUAAAUAGAUUUACCACAGGCAGUGACCACACUAUGGUAAGAGAAACGUUUGUCUCAAUUUAAAAGAGGAGCGUCGCAAAAUGGUCAAGACGUUAGAUAAAAAGACCUUGGCAUCCGCCGAUUAAUUGUUAUAAAUUCCAAUAAUGCAUUUACGACCUAUUAAAAGAACUUGAAGAAUGAAUGAAGAGUUAAAGAUAGACACCUUUAAUAACAGUAAAGGCCCAGACAACAAGCAAACUGGAGAACUAAUAAUGCAAGAAAGAAAAAACAAAAGAGGAAGAUCUAAGGGAAAUAAACAGUCAAAUCUCCAAAGAAAUAAGGAAACACAAGAAGGUAGAAAGUGAGAGAAAUUCAACGACCAUAGAAAACAACAAAAGCAUUAAGGUACUCCAAAAAAAUUACGAACGGAAGGAAAGAAAUAUGCAAAAUGAGCAACACAUAUGGAGUAUUAACUUACGACCAAUAGAAAGGAAAUAUUAAAUAUAGCAGAGGAAUUUUAGAAAAUCCUGACAUUUGGAUGGCGUUGUCAUUCUAAUAUUACCAUAGAGGAAAUAGAAUUAGUAUUAAAAAACACAAAAAAUAAAGCGCCAGGGAAAGAUAACAUAAUUACAGAUGUAAUAAAAAUAGGAGGCCAACAUCUACUGCUAAAAACUGCUUCUUUAACAUACAACAGCUUGUCCACAAUAUAGAGAGAAGGUAGUGUGAGUAUUCUGAGAAUUCUAAAUGUAGCCAUACAGUCAUCCCUAUAACAUUUCUCUGAUACCUCCCAGUUAGGUAGAAUUCUAGAGCUUGGAUAGAAAGAUAGUAGAAUUUCAUUAAAAUUAUAAAACUUAAAAUGGUUGUGUUGUCCCUGUUCAUCCUGAACUCAAAUUAACUGUUGUUAAAGAACCCAUUGGUGCAUACAAUUAAAAAAUAAGAUAACAUGAAACAUCAAACUAGAAAACUAUUACUGAAAAGAAUCAUCAAACUUCUCAAGGCUAUAAUAUGUUUUAGAAAUAUAGAAUAAUUCUGAUGGAGAGUUUGGACGAAGAGUCAAGAUAUGGUUUUCAAAUUUUCAAAUAGUGGAGGAAUUGUAGAAAAUCCUGACAUCACACAAAAAACAAAGCGCCAGGGAAAGAGAACAUAAUUACAGAUGCAAUAAAAAUAGGAGGCCAACAUCUACUCCUAAAAACUGCUUCUUUAACAUACAACAGGUUCUCCAGAAUAUAGAGAGAAGGUUGUGUGAGUAUUCCAAGAGUUCUAAAUGUAGCUUUACAGUCAUCCCUAUAACAUUUCUCUGAUACCUUUCAGUUAGGUAGGAUUCCAGAGCUUGGAUAGUAAGAUAGUGGAAUUUGAUUAAAAUUAUAGAACUUAAGAUGAUUACACAGUCAAAAGCUUUGCUGAGUUUACAAAACAGAACUGUAUUAUAGCAUUGCUCACAUAAAUAUUGCAUAGUAUUAACUAUUAUAUUAAGUAUACCCUGUGUCAUGUCCCUGUUCUUCCUGAACCCAAAUUAACUCUUGUUUAAUAACCCACUGGUAGGUAUAAUACAAAAAAAAAUAUUUAAAAUACUCAAGAUAACAUAAAACACAAAACUAGAAAACUAUUACUGAAAACAAUCGUUAAAAAAACUUCUCAAGGCUAUAAUAUGCUUUAGGCAACAUUAGAUUGUUUCGGAACUUUAUGAACAUUUUCAUGCAUAUUGAACAUUUUCUAGAAUUAUAAAAGAAUUCUGAUGGAGAGAGGGACAUGCUUAUAAAUCUUGUGUCUUAUAUAAAUAAGAGAGUUUUUAGUAAGGGAUGAUGUUGGUAUGGGCAAAGAAAAAUCAUGGAAUCAUCGAGUAACAUGUCCAGUAUUUGAUGGUGGUCUAUCAGAUUUAAGGAUGAGUGCCACUGUCUCCAAUAUAAAUAGUGAGUGAACAGUUAAAAUUUGCUCUGAAAUAAAGAGUGGUCUGCAGGAACUCCUUAAACCAACAGAAGAAAGAUAUCUUGUAGCUUUUUUCUGAAUCAGGUCAAAAAUAUUCAGUAUUUCUUUUGUAAACAAACCCCAAAACUCAAGCAGUGCAAAAUACAUUUAGUAUGCAACCACCUUUCCCAUCAGUUCCUGCAUUGCCACUUUAACAUCCUGAAAAUAGUUUGGAUGAAGAGUCAAGAUAUGGUUUUCAAAUUUUAGAUUUCUUUCAAUAUCAAGACCUAAAAAAUUAAGUCAGCAAAUAAAAGACCAUGAACAAGAACUUGAAACAAGACCCUUGUCCACAACACCAGACUGUUAGAUGUACGCCACUCCCGAAUCUUACGAAGAUCCUUAACAAUGAUAGAUCUAAGGUCUGAUCUUUGAUCUAAGAUCUGAUCUUUGUGGUACUAAAGAAGCGUAGUAUCAUUCACAAUUUGAAGAAUCAGACUCAAAGAGAGAGCUUAAUUCACUCAAAGCCUAAGUAACUGCCAACAUAAAGGGGUUAAAGAAAAAGGCCUGGGAUUAAAUGAAUCACUUCACUUCUCCUUUUUAUACACUAUAAUUUACACUAUUUACACGGACUUUAUACACAUUAUAUACAACAGGAUUCCUAUUGGGGAAGAGCCUAAACCUAAGGUGCGUAACCUAUGGUUAUUUAAUUAUUUAAAUUUAUAAAAAAUAUAGAGGACAAAGAACGAAUCUUUUACACGUUGACAUCAUGAGAUUAUCGUCUCAAGUGUCAGUGGUAGCAGGUGGCGCAACUGACAGGCUGUACAUAUUAGCGCUGUGUUGCCACACUUACUCCUUUUAUAAAACUUGAUAUUAACAAAUAAUUGUUGGAUUAUGUUUCCAACACUUUUGUCAGGGCUUGGUGUUGAAUCUCUGUGUAUACAUUGAAUGCUCACAAUUUUUUUUUGUGGAAGCUUGUUAAUAACAAAAUAGAGAGCCCAAUUCUUCUAGCACAACUAUCUUUUCACAUCCCUUGAGUGAAGGCCAGACACAAGCCAUGAUUUGUUCUUGAUCCAAUAUUCUUUAGAAUGUAUAAAAACAUUAAUUAUGUUGUUAUGGAUUCCAAUAUACAUUGUUGCCAUUUAUUAUAGAAUUUUGCUAGAUGUAGAGACUUACUCUUCUUGAAUAUGAUUCAUUAAGUAAUAAUUUAAUUCUCAAUUUAUUCAUACUGAUCUGUCUAAUGGUGUUGACUAGCAGUGAAUUCUAUUAAAUAAAGAGCUCAAUUGUGUUAUUGCUUUUUUUUGUGUUUUAUAUUAUGAUUAUUAUUAUUAUUUUUAUUGUCCCUUUAAUUUUAAUUAAUUAAUUAAUUCAUGUUGUUUAUCAAUUUUUUUGAGAUUUUUUUCUGUAAUUCAAUAACGUCUGGUGGAACAAAUACUAUUAUUAAACGAGUUUUCGUAUUGUGUGUUGUAGUUUAAUACUCACAAGAAAUUUGUACUUGGAUUGUUGGGGAAGUCUCUUUACCUUAUAUUUAGGUUAAAAGUGUCUUAUAGUUCACAGAAAAUAUUUGAGUAUAAUAUCAUAGGAAAAUUUUUGCCAGAGAGCUCUAAUGUCGUAGUCAGAACAUAAUUAUUAUACAUCAGCGCAACACAGUUUUUGAGUAAAUCAAUGUACUGUUCUUUUCAUAACUGAUUUGCAUAUCAGCAGUAUUUGUUAGACGCUUUUGAGAACCAUAGUUAAUGGACCGUAUUUACACUAAUUUCUCGAAAUCGUUUGACAGAGUGAAACAUGUACAUCUUAUUUAUCAAUUGCGUGCGAUAGGCCUGAGCGAUGGUCUUUGAAAGUGGAUUGAUUUAUAGCAUAAUUUCUGAAGAAAUUAAAGUCUUCAGGUGUACCUUAGGGCUCCCACACAGGACCUAUUUUAUUUAUUCUAUUUAUUAAUGAUCUUUGUUGUGUUGUCCGUCACUCGGAAGUUUUAUUAUUUGCAGACGACGUAAAAUCAUACAAAGUAAUGAAAUUCGCAAUUGCUGCGCAACUUUUACAAGCUAAAGUUGAUAGUGCUUUUUUAUGGUUAGUAAGUAAUGGUCUGGAGCUUAAUAUUCAAAAAUCCGAAAGUUUUUGUUUUGGUUGGUUGUAUAUUGCACUAUAAAGGACUUAGUUCUCAGAUCUGCUACUACUGUUAGAGACUUGGUGUUAUUGGACAGUAAAUUGACAUUUGGGUCUCAUGAUGAGAUUGUCUAUAUAUAUGUGUUCAUUCUGGACUUGAAUACGCCUUGCCUGUAUGAUCACCUUUUUAUUCUACUAUGUGGCAAUAAUUGAAACCAAAAAGCAUUUAUUAAUUUCCUAGCAUUCAAGGCUGGCAUUGAAAUUUACCAGAAUUUUCAUAUUAAUUAUAAGAUAAUAAAGGAUAUUUUUAACAUCGGUAGUCUAACACCGAGAGGGACUCGUUCAAAUUUACUCACAAUGUAUAAAAUAUUAAAUGUAAUUUUUUAUUGCCCAUAUUUUGAAAAAUAUACAAUUCAAAAUCAAUAAUAAAUGUCGGAAUCCUGCCAUGUUUCGCUUGCCUUUCCAUCAUGCGAAUUUCGGUCUCUUUUGUCCAAUCACCAGAAUGAUGAGAGCAUUUAAUGGGCUUAACCUUGCCCCUUCCUGGCUAAUUCUGUUAAUGCAUUUAAAUUAAGUCUUAAGGAACUAAAGUGAUGAAAUUGUGCAUAGGGUUAUGUUUUACGUUUUGUAUUUUUUGCUCCUUUAUCUUUGCUAUUGCUUUGUUCAUUUUCAUAUUAUUGAUUAUUUUUAUAUUCUUUGAAACUUCUUGGUUAUUGUUAUUAGUAUGUAUUUUAAUUUAUUCUUGUAAAUUGGCUUUUUAAUAUUGAAAUAAAUAAAAUAAAUUAAAAAAAAUCAGGUGUAGUAAAGAAACUUGCUUAGAUCUUGAUUUAUCAUAGUUGAGACUGUAAUAAUCCUACAAAAUGUUCCUUAAAAAUAUUAUAAAAAAAGGCUUAAAGCCAAGAUAUCCCUUUGUUCAUCCUGUAACUAAAAUGAAAGAACAAUUCCAAUAGUAAAUCGUAGCGUCAAUCUCAGUGUAAUCAGAAGUGAGAUA
Long non-coding RNA from Anthonomus grandis grandis, 6795 nucleotides. RefSeq lists it as uncharacterized. Lineage: Eukaryota; Metazoa; Arthropoda; Insecta; Coleoptera; Curculionidae. The transcript has 2 exons. The record is from RefSeq and is a predicted model, not a curated record.